RNAcentral lists this ribosomal RNA (468 nucleotides) under uncultured bacterium. Its description in RNAcentral is "partial 16S ribosomal RNA". It matches the Rfam family "Bacterial small subunit ribosomal RNA", at positions 28 to 507 of the family's 1533-position model. The record is from RNAcentral.
GACGAACGCUGGCGGCGUGCUUAACACAUGCAAGUCGAACGGAAAGGCCCUGCUUUUGUGGGGUGCUCGAGUGGCGAACGGGUGAGUAACACGUGAGUAACCUGCCCUUGACUUUGGGAUAACUUCAGGAAACUGGGGCUAAUACCGGAUAGGAGCUCCUGCUGCAUGGUGGGGGUUGGAAAGUUUCGGCGGUUGGGGAUGGACUCGCGGCUUAUCAGCUUGUUGGUGGGGUAGCGGCUUACCAAGGCUUUGACGGGUAGCCGGCCUGAGAGGGUGACCGGCCACAUUGGGACUGAGAGACGGCCCAGACUCCUACGGGAGGCAGCAGUGGGGAAUAUUGCGCAAUGGGCGGAAGCCUGAUGCAGCAACGCCGCGUGCGGGAUGACGGCCUUCGGGUUGUAAACCGCUUUCGCCUGUGACGAAGCGUGAGUGACGGUAAUGGGUAAAGAAGCACCGGCUAACUACGUG